This is a long non-coding RNA of Phoenix dactylifera (date palm), 706 nucleotides long. RefSeq lists it as uncharacterized. The record is from RefSeq and is a predicted model, not a curated record. NCBI's taxonomy places the organism in Eukaryota, Viridiplantae, Streptophyta, Magnoliopsida, Arecales, Arecaceae.
UGGCGGUGGCUUCAUCUUGCUUGCCGGCGGUGUGUGCAUCGCCGCGGAGCAUGGCUUCGCUCCGCUUCGCCCUCCCUUCGGUCCCCUUGCCUCGCGUCCGUUGCUUCGUCGUCACGGAUCCGGUCCGGCCUCGGAGAAGCCAAGUGCCUGCGGGAUUUUCUUCGGGCUUGCUCCUGUGACUCCUCUUCUCCCUAUCGGCUCCGGGAGCUGAAUGGUCUGUAUCGGGACUGACUUGGAGGUUGUUGCUACUUGCCAAUGGACCACAAAAUGCCAGUCUCAGAGGCAAAGAGCUGACCUUUAUCACUGCUAGGUGAAUCAGCAAGCACUCUGCAUUGACCUGCCAGUAUUGGGUGUUUCUGUAGACUUUGGGCACACUUUCCAUUGAUUUUGCAGGGCGGUCCAUACAUGGAUGUAUUUUUAUGGUAUGCAUAUCAUUUCUACCAGCAUGGAGUGGGCAAAGCUAGCCCAAACUUGUGGAUUUAAAUGAUCUGGACACCACGUAUGGGAGCUUAUAGAUCACAGUUCAAAGUCACUUUUUUCAUUCGACUCAAGUUUGUAGGGUCCAUGACAACCUUCUGGCAUGUGGCUUUUUAUCCUUGUAUUAUUUUAAGAUAUACUAAGAUUCAUGGAGCAAUAUGUUGUCCUCGAUCAAGUUAAUAUAGGAAAGUGGAAUUUUCAGUAUGAACAUGGUGAAAAAAUUAGUGCA